RNAcentral lists this ribosomal RNA (1456 nucleotides) under uncultured organism. RNAcentral's name for it is "SSU rRNA". It matches the Rfam family "Bacterial small subunit ribosomal RNA". The record is from RNAcentral.
CGGCAGGCCUAACACAUGCAAGUCGAGCGGUAGCACAGAGAGCUUGCUCUCGGGUGACGAGCGGCGGACGGGUGAGUAAUGUCUGGGAAACUGCCUGAUGGAGGGGGAUAACUACUGGAAACGGUAGCUAAUACCGCAUAACGUCGCAAGACCAAAGUGGGGGACCUUCGGGCCUCAUGCCAUCAGAUGUGCCCAGAUGGGAUUAGCUAGUAGGUGGGGUAACGGCUCACCUAGGCGACGAUCCCUAGCUGGUCUGAGAGGAUGACCAGCCACACUGGAACUGAGACACGGUCCAGACUCCUACGGGAGGCAGCAGUGGGGAAUAUUGCACAAUGGGCGCAAGCCUGAUGCAGCCAUGCCGCGUGUGUGAAGAAGGCCUUCGGGUUGUAAAGCACUUUCAGCGGGGAGGAAGGCGGUGAGGUUAAUAACCUCAUCGAUUGACGUUACCCGCAGAAGAAGCACCGGCUAACUCCGUGCCAGCAGCCGCGGUAAUACGGAGGGUGCAAGCGUUAAUCGGAAUUACUGGGCGUAAAGCGCACGCAGGCGGUCUGUCAAGUCGGAUGUGAAAUCCCCGGGCUCAACCUGGGAACUGCAUUCGAAACUGGCAGGCUAGAGUCUUGUAGAGGGGGGUAGAAUUCCAGGUGUAGCGGUGAAAUGCGUAGAGAUCUGGAGGAAUACCGGUGGCGAAGGCGGCCCCCUGGACAAAGACUGACGCUCAGGUGCGAAAGCGUGGGGAGCAAACAGGAUUAGAUACCCUGGUAGUCCACGCCGUAAACGAUGUCGAUUUGGAGGUUGUGCCCUUGAGGCGUGGCUUCCGGAGCUAACGCGUUAAAUCGACCGCCUGGGGAGUACGGCCGCAAGGUUAAAACUCAAAUGAAUUGACGGGGGCCCGCACAAGCGGUGGAGCAUGUGGUUUAAUUCGAUGCAACGCGAAGAACCUUACCUGGUCUUGACAUCCACAGAACUUUCCAGAGAUGGAUUGGUGCCUUCGGGAACUGUGAGACAGGUGCUGCAUGGCUGUCGUCAGCUCGUGUUGUGAAAUGUUGGGUUAAGUCCCGCAACGAGCGCAACCCUUAUCCUUUGUUGCCAGCGGUUAGGCCGGGAGCUCAAAGGAGACUGCCAGUGAUAAACUGGAGGAAGGUGGGGAUGACGUCAAGUCAUCAUGGCCCUUACGACCAGGGCUACACACGUGCUACAAUGGCAUAUACAAAGAGAAGCGACCUCGCGAGAGCAAGCGGACCUCAUAAAGUAUGUCGUAGUCCGGAUUGGAGUCUGCAACUCGACUCCAUGAAGUCGGAAUCGCUAGUAAUCGUAGAUCAGAAUGCUACGGUGAAUACGUUCCCGGGCCUUGUACACACCGCCCGUCACACCAUGGGAGUGGGUUGCAAAAGAAGUAGGUAGCUUAACCUUCGGGAGGGCGCUUACCACUUUGUGAUUCAUGACUGGGGUGAAAUCG